UUGGAGGGCAAGUCUGGUGCCAGCAGCCGCGGUAAUUCCAGCUCCAAUAGCGUAUAUUAAAGUUGUUGCAGUUAAAAAGCUCGUAGUUGAAUUUCGGGGUUAGUAGGUUGGUCGUGCCUCAGGUAUGUACUGAUCUCACUGAUUCCUCCUUCCUGAUGAACCGUAAUGCCAUUAAUUUGGUGUUGCGGGGAAACUGGACUGUUGCUUUGAAAAAAUUAGAGUGUUUAAAGCAGGCUAACGCUUGAAUACAUUAGCAUGGAAUAAUGAAAUAGGACGUUCGAUCCUAUUUUGUUGGUUUCUAGGAUUGACGUAAUGAUUAAUAGGGAUAGUUGGGGGCAUUAGUAUUCAAUUGUCAGAGGUGAAAUUCUUGGAUUUAUUGAAGACUAACUACUGCGAAAGCAUUUGCCAAGGAUGUUUUCAUUAAUCAGGAACGAAAGUUAGGGGAUCGAAGACGAUCAGAUACCGUCGUAGUCUUAACCAUAAACUAUGCCGACUAGGGAUGGGACGGUGUUAUUUUUUGACCCGUUCGGCGCCUUACGGGAAA
RNAcentral lists this ribosomal RNA (544 nucleotides) under uncultured Glomeromycotina. RNAcentral describes it as "SSU rRNA". It matches the Rfam family "Eukaryotic small subunit ribosomal RNA", at positions 548 to 1097 of the family's 1831-position model. Lineage: Eukaryota; Fungi; Glomeromycota. The record is from RNAcentral.